Molecule: ribosomal RNA, 402 nt
Filed under: uncultured prokaryote
Description: bacterial SSU rRNA
Rfam family: Bacterial small subunit ribosomal RNA
Source: RNAcentral
UAGGGAAUAUUAGAAAUGGACGAAAGUCUGAUCUAGCAACACCGCGUGUGCGAUGAAGGCCUUCGGGUCGUAAAGCACUUUUUGGAAGGAAUAGGAAGGAAUGUACUUCCAGAAUAAGUCUCGGCUAACUACGUGCCAGCAGCCGCGGUAACACGUAGGAGGCAAACGUUAUCCGGAUUUACUGGGCGUAAAGCGCGUGUAGGUGGUUCUGUAAGUAGGGCGUGAAAGCUCCCGGCUCAACUGGGAGAGGCCGUUCUAAACUGCAGAGCUAGAGGAUGGUAGAGGGAGGUGGAAUUCCAGGUGUAGCGGUGGAAUGCGCAGAUAUCUGGAGGAACACCAGUGGCGAAAGCGGCCUCCUGGACCAUUCCUGACACUCAGACGCGAAAGCUAGGGUAGCAAACG